GGGGAUGUUUGAAGACAUCACCUAUCCACCACUGCCAUCUUUUCUCAUUCUAUCCUCAGAAUUGCCAUCAGCUGGUGUGAGCUGUGGGCCUCCAUUCUGAGAUCAAAGUGUGGAACCUCAGCUCACAGUGCCACAGGAUUCUCCAGGCUGACACCAAGACACCACAUCAAGUACAGCUUUUCAGGACAGAAAGGAUUGCAGUGGUGCUCAAUGCAGUUUGCUCUGAAGAAAACUUGUGUUUUCAGAAAUUGGAAUUCCCUGUCCUGUUGUCUCAGCCUUGUGCAGAGUGUUCUGAAAAAGCAAUUAUUUAUUUAAAAUCCUGAAACAAGAAAAAUUUUUUUUUAAUCUUUGCAUUUGCACUUGAUUGCAAACUCCUAUUGAAGAUUUUUAUAUGAAUAGAGCAUCUGCUGGAUAUCCUGUCCAGAUGGAAUCUCCAGUAAAGGACAUACUCAUCUCUAUCAUUCUUGUCAGCAAGUAACCAGAAGGAAGAGAUUUAUAAAGCAGAUGUCAGAAUGUCAAAUCUGCCUUCAGCUGAUUUUCUAACUGAUUUCUGUAUUCAUGCUCGUGUCCAGUAGGAUCUUGCAAAGGUCAGUGUGAGUGGAGACAAUGGUGGGAUAGUUCUCCAGCCAACCUUCAGAGGACCUAUGCAAAGCCAGGAAAGACCCUUUGGAGUCCUGCAAGGUUCAAGUAGGCAGAAGGAUCCACCCUCCCCAUGGGCAACAGAUAUUUUUUUCAAGAUUAAAUGUUUCAGGAACAGAGAUGGAUAACACCAGACAUUCUAAAUAGCAUCAGGUUUUGCUGUGGUGUCUCUGUUCUGGAGUGAAAUGAGUAUUUAACUAAAUUAAAUGAGCUUUUCACUGAAAUGAAAACAACAGGCCUCCUUUUUAAUUCAAGAGAAGGAAGCUUCUGCAAAGCAACCUAUAGGGGUUCCUUUUACCAUAUGUUGGAAGUUCUCCAUUAUACAGUGAUUAGGGCACGGUUUCUCCUGCCUCAGUCUCUCUGCCCUUUGCACACACUGGAGGGAGGAUGCGGUGCCUCAGCUGGGGCAGCCCCAGGAACAGGCUCUGAGAAGAAUGGAUUGAAAGCAGCCCUGGAGAGAAGGACUUGUGAAUGUUUGUGGACAAGAAGCACGAUGUGACCCAAUAAUGUGCCCAGAAAGCCAGAUGUUUGCUGGGCUGCAUCAAAAGAAGCACAACCAGCAGAUCCACCCUGACCUGGAGUGAAAUGGUUUGGGCUGGAGUCAGAGCUAUGAGCCUGGGAAUGAAGAAUGAGCAUGGGAAUGGGGAAGAAGGGAAGACAUGAGAAUGCAAUAUGAAAAGGCUGGCAACUAGGGCUGUAAAGCCAUUUUUGAGGGAGAAUAUGGAGAUGAGCAGAAAAUGAAAGUUAUUCCAGCUAUUUCCCCUAGGGAAAAGUAUGAGCUAAAAAUGAAGAUUUUCCCAUCUGCAAGCUGAAGUUUGCCUCACCCAUCUUUCAAAUGCUAAAUUGGGGUGGGAAAAUCAGCAAAAUUUCUUGUCAACAAAACAUUUUAAUAUGAUAGUGAUCAUAGGUAAAAUAAUGCUCUUGUUGAAAGUGUUUUUGUAUCAGCAGAAACAAUUUGUUUUUAGAAGAAAACAAAGCCACUGAAAGACAAUAGGUCUCUUAAAAACUUCAGUGUCUCAGGCUUUAGGAAAACAGGAAGCAAAUAUGGACAGAAUUCCAUCUCAUUUUCAAUGAUGAAAAAAUAUUAUCAAGGGUGAAAAACAUGCAAGUUAAAAGAUCUGGAAAAGUUAUUCAGAUUGAAUAACUUAACAGCUUAUCUAAAAUACUGUCUCCCACAAGAAAAACAGCUUUCCUAGUUUUCUAAUUUUUCUUGGAAAAAUUUAGUCAAGGUAUUAUCUCCUGAUACCCCUUUCUUUUUUCAUUUUUUUUUUUUUGGUUACUUAACAGAGUCACAGAAGCAGAAAUGAUGAAGUUUUAUCUUUAGAACUAAAAGCUUGCCUUAAUUUCACAGUAAUACAGCAUCCACAUUGAUGUAGACUCUGAAAACAUACUACUGUAGACUUUGUUUUAGAAUUUGGAUAGAUGUUAAGCAAUGUCUGUCAGGUAUUACAAAAAUUUCUAUGUAUGUAAUGAAUAUUCAGGCUUCCUUGUCUAGUACAGGGGCAAUAAAACAGAUCUUUUUCUCAAUUCUAUUAAUAGCAAUGGAAGACUUCAUUGAGCUGGAAGUAAAAAUAGCAUACAUUUCAGCACUGCUCAUCUUGCAAUGCUUUAGACUACCUGCAUUUAAUGCAUACUGUCUCAGCUUCUAAUAAAGAUGCUGCAAUCAUUGGUUUUGA
Long non-coding RNA from Parus major (Great Tit), 2315 nucleotides. RefSeq lists it as uncharacterized. The record is from RefSeq and is a predicted model, not a curated record. Lineage: Eukaryota; Metazoa; Chordata; Aves; Passeriformes; Paridae. The transcript has 10 exons.